UUGGGACUAUGUAAUUGGGAGC
Molecule: non-coding RNA, 22 nt
Filed under: Rattus norvegicus (Norway rat)
Lineage: Eukaryota; Metazoa; Chordata; Mammalia; Rodentia; Muridae
Source: RNAcentral